GACGAACGCUGGCGGCGCGCCUAACACAUGCAAGUCGAACGAGCGAGAGAGAGCUUGCUUUCUUGAGCGAGUGGCGAACGGGUGAGUAACGCGUGAGGAGCCUGCCUCAAAGAGGGGGACAACAGUUGGAAACGACUGCUAAUACCGCAUAAGCCCACGGUGCCGCAUGGCACAGAGGGAAAAGGAGCAAUCCGCUUUGAGAUGGCCUCGCGUCCGAUUAGCUAGUUGGUGAGGUAACGGCCCACCAAGGCGACGAUCGGUAGCCGGACUGAGAGGUUGAACGGCCACAUUGGGACUGAGACACGGCCCAGACUCCUACGGGAGGCAGCAGUGGGGAAUAUUGCACAAUGGGGGAAACCCUGAUGCAGCGACGCCGCGUGGAGGAAGAAGGUCUUCGGAUUGUAAACUCCUGUUGUUGGGGAAGAUAAUGACGGUACCCAACAAGGAAGUGACGGCUAACUACGUG
RNAcentral lists this ribosomal RNA (466 nucleotides) under uncultured bacterium. Its description in RNAcentral is "partial 16S ribosomal RNA". It matches the Rfam family "Bacterial small subunit ribosomal RNA", at positions 28 to 507 of the family's 1533-position model. The record is from RNAcentral.